Lagopus leucura (white-tailed ptarmigan) is the source of this 2613-nucleotide long non-coding RNA. RefSeq lists it as uncharacterized. Lineage: Eukaryota; Metazoa; Chordata; Aves; Galliformes; Phasianidae. The transcript is spliced from 3 exons. The record is from RefSeq and is a predicted model, not a curated record.
GGAGAUCCCUGCAUACUGAGGUCUUCCAAAGGUCUUUAUCAGAACAGCAUGAGAUAUCCAAGGGGAGUAAAGCAAAGAAGCAUUCCCUUCCCCGAGACAGAGGCAGAGCUCAGCCCCAGGAGCGGUGCUGCAGGCAGGGCUGUGAGUCCCGCAGGAUCAGAGGGCAGUCCUGCCAUGCGCUGCUUUAAACCUUUCCCUGCUCUGCAGAACUGUCCUCAUCGUGUUUCUGACACAGUGUUGGCUGGAACAGUGCCCAGUGAGCAGCACUGCAUCACAGAUAUGAGUUUCCCCAGCUGCUUCCUACCUGGCCCUGAGAUCCAACUCCUGGCCAUUCCUCCCCCACCGCCCAUAGGCUUGAACCUGCUCCAGGCCUGUUUCAAUCUGAAAGUAUUAACCUUUCUCCAAGGGACCCGACCCAAGUUUUACAGUCACCUCCACUGGUUCAUGCACUUUACUUGUGGUUCAGCUCCACACCAGCUCUGGGCUUUCCCUGGGCAGUAGCCUGCUUGUCACCCCAUAAGCCAGACAGGCUGCAGUGCUUUGCUGAGCAUUAAUUGAGGCCGGUAGCAUUGUGCAGUUUACUGGAAGUUACUUUUUCCUUCAACACUUCUCAGAGGAUAAAAGGCACCCGAUGUCUCCUGGUGGCUGAUGGAGGGAGCAGAGGAGCCCACCCUGCAGCCAUGGGCUCUGCACAGGGUCCCAGCACCACAGCUGACAUGGGAGAGGUGCAGACUGUGGUGCGACCCUUCUUCACUUGCAGGAGGCUCUCAAUGCUCACCAGCUGCCUUUGACUCCACAAGAAAAGCUGAAUGAAUGCAAUUUUCCACUCCCAUUGUCUCUCCUGGCUAAAUACUGCUGCUGUUCUCAGACUUUUAUGACUGUGCAGCCGGUGUUCCACGCACAGCACAGCUCCUGGCCCUGCUAUUAUACCUUUGGCAAGAAAACAUUAGGUUUUUAUGGAAAUAAAAAAAAAAAAAAGUGGGAGUGCAAGAGAGAACCUGAACCUAACACUAGGGGCCUUAUUUUUUGGGGUAGAAGCCCAACAGAAUGGCUGGGCUCCAAAACUUCUUGGCUAUUGCACUGCACACGCAGUGCUUUCCUGUCCACAUCUUUUGUCCUCCCUGCUCCUUUCCCUUUCGACCCUUUCUGACCUCUUGGAAUGGAUCUGGUCUCUGUAGGUCACUAUUCUGUAUUAUGUUGCAUGAGAGGUCCCAAGCAGCCUUGCAGUUACAACAGGUACAAUAUUCUAGAAGAACUUUAGCUCUGGCUUUCCUCUGUGCGUGGCCCUGUGGGUCCCUGAAGCCCUGGGGCUGAUGGGUAUGGCUUUAGGGAACUGCUGGGGGGAUCCCAGAACUGCUGGAACCUGCAUGGGGAAAACUGCUUGGAUAAAAUGGGGAUUUUAUUCAUUGCAAGUAUUAGAGAUUGACUCUGUGGGGUGGAUUUCCUCACCCCAGAGUAAGAGACAGUGAUGGAUGCAGGCAAGAUCAGAGCUUGGCAGAGGUUUUCCUUGUGCACAGGUGUCCCUGGGGUGGUAGUUGGACUCAACGGACUUAAAGGUUUUUUCCAACUCUCAUAAUUCUGUAAUGCUAUCCCUACUUUACCUACAGAGAAGAGGAGUCCUUGGGUAUUUCAUGCAUGUCCUGGGGACAAAGGUGUGCUCAUAGCCAAGUGUUCUGCUUGAGCCACGUGAGAUUUCUGUGCUUCUCCAGGCUGGGACUCAGUACAGCAUCUCAGCAAAGCACUGGCAUCCGUGGGGAGACAGGAAAACAAAGUGAUGAUCUGUUUUCUAAUUGUCUGCCAGCCUCUCCAACCUCCUCGCCCACACCCUCCUGCAAUCUGGUGAUUAACUUAAUUACAGCUGCAGCUCCUGGAGCUGGCCCAGCCUGGGAGGAGAGCAGUGCCAGGAGGGUCUCGCUUCCUGCAGCCUGCCUGGGCUCAGACCAGGAACGUGGACCUGGCUGUAGAUGCAGAUCCCAUUGUCUCAUGUGUGGGAUUUAAUUGUUAAUCCCAAUGCACGCCAGAUGUGUGGGACCUGUUGUGUGGAAAGAAUACUUUUGGUAGAGAAGAACAAGGGCUCAGUUUCUCCAGCAAAGGGUGAGGGGAGAGAAGUUUUGUACGCAGCAUCAAAGGAGGCAAGUAUAAUGGAUGACACCGUGCUCUACUGUGGGUACGAGCAGUGCUGAGGGAUGAAAGGAAUCUUCUCCUAGCAGGUCCCUGUGGCUGAGCUACAGUGCUCACUUAACACCGGUGCUCAAUGUUCUAAAGCACCUUUCACCUGCAGUGGUUUUUAGGAAGCCCCUGGAGCUGACAGCUGGGCUCUGUGCCCCUCUCCCUGCCGAGGGUCUGGGUGUGCUCUGCUUCCUGCAGAAAGCAGCAGAGGAGGCCUGCAGGGCUGCUGCAGAGCAGGACGGGUGGUGCAGGAGGGAGCGCAGUUGCAGCCCUGGUUGCUGGAGGUGAGGCUGGGUGAUGCUGCCCAGCUCCCAAAUGUCACCGCUCCCCCUGCCGCCCACUGCCGCUGUCCCUAUGAAAUGUCAGACCGCAGAGCUGGGAGUGCUGAGGCUGUCUGGGCUCAGGUGUGGCUGCCCCAUGGCUGCUGGCUCCGGCCCCGCACAC